Molecule: ribosomal RNA, 484 nt
Filed under: uncultured bacterium
Lineage: Bacteria
Description: partial 16S ribosomal RNA
Rfam family: Bacterial small subunit ribosomal RNA
Source: RNAcentral
AUUGAACGCUGGCGGCAGGCCUAACACAUGCAAGUCGAGCGGAUGAAGGGAGCUUGCUCCUGGAUUCAGCGGCGGACGGGUGAGUAAUGCCUAGGAAUCUGCCUGGUAGUGGGGGAUAACGUCCGGAAACGGGCGCUAAUACCGCAUACGUCCUGAGGGAGAAAGUGGGGGGUCUUCGGACCUCACGCUAUCAGAUGAGCCUAGGUCGGAUUAGCUAGUUGGUGGGGUAAAGGCCUACCAAGGCGACGAUCCGUAACUGGUCUGAGAGGAUGAUCAGUCACACUGGAACUGAGACACGGUCCAGACUCCUACGGGAGGCAGCAGUGGGGAAUAUUGGACAAUGGGCGAAAGCCUGAUCCAGCCAUGCCGCGUGUGUGAAGAAGGUCUUCGGAUUGUAAAGCACUUUAAGUUGGGAGGAAGGGCAGUAAGUUAAUACCUUGCUGUUUUGACGUUACCAACAGAAUAGGCACCGGCUAACUUCGUG